GACGGGACCGCACAAGCAGCGGAGCGUGUGGUUUAAUUCGAUGCUACACGAAGAACCUUACCAGGGUUUGACAUGCAAGUGGUAGGAAUCUGAAAAGUGACCGACCCUUCGGGGAGCUUGCACAGGUGCUGCAUGGCUGUCGUCAGCUCGUGUCGUGAGAUGUUCGGUUAAGUCCGCUAACGAGCGCAACCCUCACUGUGUGUUAUACGUGUCACACGGGACUGCCGGUUUUAAGCCGGAGGAAGGCGGGGAUGACGUCAAGUCAGCAUGGCCUUUAUAUCCUGGGCUACACACACGCUACAAUGGUCUGUACAAUGGGUUGCCAAGCCGCGAGGCGGAGCCAAUCCUUAAAGCAGGCCUCAGUUCAGAUUGUAGGCUGCAACUCGCCUACAUGAAGAUGGAGUUGCUAGUAACCGCAGGUCAGCAAUACUGCGGUGAAUACGUCCCCGGGUCUU
Molecule: ribosomal RNA, 455 nt
Filed under: uncultured Anaerolineaceae bacterium
Lineage: Bacteria; Bacillati; Chloroflexota; Anaerolineae; Anaerolineales; Anaerolineaceae
Description: bacterial SSU rRNA
Rfam family: Bacterial small subunit ribosomal RNA
Source: RNAcentral